Molecule: non-coding RNA, 1084 nt
Organism: Phalacrocorax carbo (great cormorant)
Lineage: Eukaryota; Metazoa; Chordata; Aves; Suliformes; Phalacrocoracidae
Source: RefSeq, a predicted model, not a curated record
UCAGAGAGGAAAAAAUGUUUCCCUUCUGUGCGGAUGUAGAAAUCUCCAACCCAAGUAAUCCUCACCCUCCUGCUCCUACUGUUUCGCAGGGAACAUCCUGUCUGCUGCAGCCCCCAGCCAAGAAAAUCAUCAGAGAACAGAAGAUGCGACCACAUGCAAGACCCCGCGCCCCCGACCAGCCGUUGCCUCACCAAACCUCCCUUCAACACGCAUCGGGUUUAUACAAACUCCCAACAGGAUUCAGUGGGUCUUGGCAUCGAACAGCAAGUGGACAAUCAUUUGGGCUCCGAGCAAUUACCGGAAAAGUGGCAAGGAAGCGAACAUCAAUUGCUAAUUUUGACUUCUAGAGAAAACAGAUUCUUUCUUGAAAGCUUUGGAAGAAUUAGAAAAAUCAGUACAACAAAUUGUUAUCACAUGGAGAAACCCAAGCUAGCCGAACAAACCUGUGACUACAGAGUCACGUGGUGGGACAGGCUUGAAUAUCAGAAACAGCACAGUGUCUGGGCUAGGUUAUCCUGCUAGAAAGGUUAAAAAGUUGCACACUCAAUGGUUUGGAGUAUCUGAAAAAUCAACAGAGACUUUUCAGCAAGCUUGACAGACAUCUUGCAGUUCCUUUCAUUAAGGGAGCCUCCGGGAGCUCUGUACAAGCCAAUAAGAAAAUGAAUGAAGAUGCUAAAUACAGGAUCAUGGUUUUCUGGCUGUUUUAAAUGAAUCAGCCUGACAGAAACCUUCACCUGAAAAUGAAAGGUAUAUGAAGUUCCCUCCUGUACUUAGUAGAGGAAAAAUCCAGAAGUUUAUUGUACAUUGAGUUCAUUAAGGAUUAUCUUUGAGUGAACUUUGAUUCGUGCAUUAGAAUAUUUAGUGCUGUAGGCUGAGCAACCAGCUUAUUGGCAUUUCCUGAAACUGAUAACAAAUGAACUGAGCAUCUUUCCGCUACAAUAAAGACACACUGUACUGAAGAUAACUUGGGAUAUAAAAGAAGGCUUGGUUUUUAUCAAACUUAUUGUACUCUGUUUUUAUUUAUUGUGGCACUUGUGACUUAAUUUCUGCCUAAUACGCUAAUAAAAUUCCAUACUGUAAUUUA